GGAGAGAUGGCUGAGUUUGGCUGAAGGCGCUCGCCUGGAAAGCGAGUAGACGGGGUUAACUCGUCUCGAGGGUUCGAAUCCCUCUCUCUCCGCCA
Molecule: transfer RNA, 95 nt
Filed under: Bacillota bacterium
Lineage: Bacteria; Bacillati; Bacillota
Also listed under: 1 other name
Description: tRNA-Ser
Rfam family: tRNA
About the family: Transfer RNA (tRNA) molecules are approximately 80 nucleotides in length. Their secondary structure includes four short double-helical elements and three loops (D, anti-codon, and T loops).
Source: RNAcentral